This 3307-nucleotide long non-coding RNA is filed under the name Papio anubis (olive baboon). Its description in RNAcentral is "lncRNA (ENSPANG00000047707.1)". Lineage: Eukaryota; Metazoa; Chordata; Mammalia; Primates; Cercopithecidae. The record is from RNAcentral.
ACCAUCUUUGGGUCAAUGAGUAUAAAUUGUAUGGGCAACUGAAAUACAAUUAUAGUAGAUAUAUAUUGAAAGGCUAUAACUGGUUAAUCUUCCCAUGGAAGGUGAUUAGAAGUGAGAAAAAAGUAAAAUUGAGACCAGUAAAUUCUGUCUCUUGAUAGCACCUGGUUGGAAAUUUGCUGGGAAAGGAAGUUGGUGAGUGAUAGCUAAGGAGAGAUGAGAAGCUCCAAGAUGGUUCAAGGACCCCGCUACACUUGAACCUGGGAGGCAGAGGUUGGAGUGAGCCGAGAUGGCGCCACUACACUCCAGCCUGGGCAACAAGAGCAAAACUUCGUCUCAAAAAAAAAAAAAAAAAAAAAAAAAAGGGGCCAGAGAAAAGGGAAAAACAUUAAACUCUUACUGGUUGUAUUUAUUAUUAACCAGUUGUUUUAUUGUUUAGUAACUAUUAUUUCAUUAGAAUUGAUCGAUUAUCAACAAGUUAUUUUAGAAAGAAUAGUCAGCUAAUCAGAGGUCAUCUAUCUAUCUUAUCCAUCCAUUCAUCACCAAACACUUACAUAACAUUUAUUAUGUGCCAAGCUCUGCUGUAAUUAGUUUAUGCAUAUUGACUCAUUUAAUAUUGUGUCCGGAAUUGGUGAGUUCUUGGUCUCGCUGACUUCAAGAAUGAAGACACGGACCCUCGCAGUGAGUGUUAGAGUUCUUAAAGAUGCUGUGUCCCGAGUUCGUUCCUUCAGAUGUUCAGAUGUGUCCGGAGUUUCUUCCUUCUGGUGGUUUCGUGGUCUCACUGGCUUCAGGAGUGAAGCUGAAGACCUUCGCGAGGGAGUCGACUCCGGCCUCGGCCAGCCCAGAGAGUGGCUCUCACAGUGCAGCGGAGGGCUGAAGGGCUUCUCAAGCACGGCCAGAGUACACGCCGAGGCCAAGGAAGCGCCGAGAACGAGCGAGAGCUGCUAGCACUUUGUCACCUCUCAAUGUCACAACAAUCCUAUGAGAGCUGAGCCAACAUGCAUAUGAUAACUGGAGACUGAAAAAAUUUAGGGAGAGAGAACCAUGCAAGUCAAGGGCAUUGUAAAGAUGAAUUUAGAAUCUCCAGUGACAGCAGGCCCUCAUUUGGAUGCUUGGAUUCUAAAAUGUUUGCUAAAAGGUAAGUCAGAGCAUUUGGUCAUAUGUCAUCUAAACUACACUUCUACCUGUACCUAAGAUGUAGGAAGAGGCUGAAUGAUAUAGAUACUGGUUUCAAGGUCAGUAUAGUAAAUUGAAAAGAGUUCUUCUAACCCAGAUCUUUACUGUUAGGCAUUCCUUUCCCCUUCUCUGAUUCUUUAUAGGUGAAAGAAGGGAUUGAAAGAUAUGAAAUGUAAAGUACCACCAGUUAAAAAUUCCACUUUUCCAAAGAGAAACCCUCAUUCAUAUUUUAUAUAGUUUUAAGGUGACCCAUGGUUAAUUAUUCUUUGCUGGAUAUAGUUAUAGAAUCUCCAUAUUCACACUAGUUAAGGAGGUGAGAACACUUACCAAUAUCAGAGGAAGCAAAUGAAGCAUAAAACCUUCUCAGCAAACUAACACAAGAACAGAAAACCAAACACUGCUUGUUCUCACUCAUAAGUGAGAGUUGAACAAUGAGAACACAUGGACACAGGGAGGGGAGCAUCAUACACUGGGGCCUGUCAGGGGAUGGGGGGCUAGAGGAGGGAUAGCAUUAGGAGAAAUACCAAAUGUAGAUGACGGAUUGAUGGGUGUAGCAAACCACCAUGGCACGUGUAUACCUAUGUAACAAAACUGCACAUUCUGCACACGUAUUCCCAGGACUUAAAGUUUAAUUAAAAAAAAAAACCCUUACUCAAAAUUAUUCAUCUGCUAAGUGAAAGGACUGUAAUUAGAAUUUCCUUAAAUUCCAUUUGUUGACAUGCUGCUUGAAACUAUUCUAAAGUUAUUUCAAAUAUACAUAUUUAUGGCAAAUGACAAAUCUAUUCAAAUAAGACAGUGAAGACUCUUCCAGAAUUAUUUUAUUUAUAUUUCAUCUCCCUUCUAAAAACUCAGUGGUAUAGUUGUUCUUGAAUUAAUAAUUGUUAACCAAGUUUUUACUAAACAUCUCAAGUCUUAUCAGCCAUAUAUUAUCUUGAUAUUAACUAAUGUAAUACAGAUGAUCUAGUAUAAAGGAAAGAUUAAAAUUUCAGGCUCUAACAUCAUACAGACCUGGGUUAAAAUGCUUAUAUGAAUUAUGAGGAUUCUCCUUAGGAGGAGCAAUAGGUUUGUUUUGAAGGGAUAUACUUUGAGAGUAAAGAAUGAGACCCCCCCAAGAGCAUGCUUAAAAACAACAGAAGCAGAGAGCAAGGACAGGAGUUGUCUCUUUCCUGAUAGAAAGAGUGGGAAGAAAGGCCGAGUCUGAAAUUGGCCAAAUCCCAAGGAAUGCAUUGUGUGAGUAAAUUUCUUGAUGGAGAAAUAUGUAUCUGUAGCUGAAAUCAAUGUAGGGCAAAAGAGACAAUACAUGUUACAAUGUCUGAUUUACUUUAAAUUACUUCAACAUAGAUAUGAUAUGAUGUACAUGCCAAUUACCUUACAUUAUAACUCUAGAGGUAGACUAUUUACUGAAUAAUGCACCUUGCAGGGGUAGUCAGCUAGGUUGUACCUAUAGUUCUCUGUACUUCCCUGAACACCUGAGGCUUUUCAUCAUAUUAUUACUAUAGUAUUCUACUCACACACUCUAUUGCACUUAUCUGUAUAUUUAUCUGCUUUUCUUGUUUGAAUUUGAGGUUUGGGGGUGGAUGGUCCAGGACCAUAAACUUACAUAUUUUUGUAAACUUAACAGUGAUCAGGGUGCCUGGCACACAGUAGGUAUAUCAUAAAAGUUUCUGAAUAAGUGGUAGAACAAAUGUAGAAUGAAAGCUUUUUGAGACCUCUGUUUUUAUAGUAGUCACUCUAGUUCAGAUACCAGGUUAGAGAGGGCAGUAGAGCUAGUGAUGCAGUUUAGCUGUUUGCUUGCAUCUCUUUCUAUGUGGACAUCUUUGUUUUGUUUUAUACUAUCCUUUUCCCCUAAAAGAAGAAAAUUGGCUUAUAAAUACACAUAAACUACAGUAGGAUAAAAAAUAAACAGGUGAACAAAUAUGAGUGAAAGUAAAAUCAAGAUAGAAAAUUAAGAUAUACCAGGGAUACAGUUCAUAUAAAAAGUUCAUGUAACAAAGAUGCUACAUAUUUGAUAAAAAGUGAGACAUAAUAGUGGUUCUGCUCUUCCCUUUAACAAAACAAAGAGAGAAACAAGCCCAGUAGCAAAACUUGCCGUGUUGAUGGGCUAAAUACAAACCAUGUACUAAGAAGAAUGCCA